Molecule: ribosomal RNA, 483 nt
Filed under: Glyphidrilus wararamensis
Lineage: Eukaryota; Metazoa; Annelida; Clitellata; Crassiclitellata; Almidae
Description: partial 16S ribosomal RNA
Rfam family: Bacterial large subunit ribosomal RNA
Source: RNAcentral
UGCCUUUUGAUGAUAAUAGAAGGUAACUCCUGCCCAGUGAAAAUAAUUUCAACGGCCGCGGUAUCCUAACCGUGCAAAGGUAGCAUAAUCACUUGCCUAUUAAUUGUAGGCUGGAAUGAACGGAUAAACGAAAUAAGAUCUGUCUCUACUAAUUGGCUAUAAAUUAUAUUUUAGAUGAAGAUAUCUAAAUAAAAACGAAGGACAAGAAGACCCUAUAGAGCUUUAUUUAAAUAAAAGAAUAAAUCUUUUUGUAAAUUCGGUUGGGGCGACCAAGGGACUGUAAUCACCCUUAAUUUUAAGAUUUAUGAAUCUUUUCCAUGACCCUUUUAUUAAGAACAUAAAAACAAGCUACCUUAGGGAUAACAGGCUAAUCCUAUUUAAGAGUCCUUAUCUAUAAUAGGGGUUGGCACCUCGAUGUUGGCUUAGGGUAUCUUUAUGGCGCAAAAGUCAUAGGUAGAAGGUUUGUUCAACCUUUAAUUCCCU